Long non-coding RNA from Armigeres subalbatus, 2287 nucleotides. RefSeq lists it as uncharacterized. The transcript has 3 exons. The record is from RefSeq and is a predicted model, not a curated record. NCBI's taxonomy places the organism in Eukaryota, Metazoa, Arthropoda, Insecta, Diptera, Culicidae.
CUCAACAGUUGUUUAUGUUUUUAUUCAUAUACGCGGCCUAAUUUAUUUCAAUCUCGUUUUUCUUUAAUUUGUUAUUUAUAAAUACCUAGUUCUCACAAAACAUGUUCUGCAAAGCCGUAUUUUUACAACUGUAACCGAAAAGUGAAUUCGUGGUAAAAAUGCUCGUACAGCAAACAUUCCUCAACGCCAUGUAGGCCACCGAACGGGUCCCUUGAAAUGCAGAGUUCCUUCAACGCCCACUUUUCUGUCAACUAUUCAGAAACAACACAGCGGGUCACAUGCUCAACAUCUACAUCUUGGACUGUUGCAGGAGUGUUUACUCCAGAAAAGCACUCCGAAUUUAGUGCACUGUCUUCUCUACGGUUGCCAGUGAUGAAGCUUCUAAUUAUGUAUAGCUGUAAAUUAAUUUAUAAUGAUAUGCUGGAUACUGUCCUGGAGCUCAAUUUUACUCAUGAAUUGGAGGAGAAACAUACAUAAUAAUGGAGCACAGAGUUCUAAGUUUGGAAGCAUGUUUGGUCGCAUUUCCAGAUUUGAAUAUCUGAUAAGCAAUCGACUAUCACCUAGCACCGUCUCAUCGAGCAUGUAUGCGAUCUGCUCCAUUUACACCUCGGAGGUGAUUAUACGCUUCUAACUUCUGCAAUGACUUCCUGUGCUAUCUCGUAUUCGCCAAUGUGAAGCAGGAAUUGCUGGUGAAGAUAGUGGAGACGAUGCUGUGAAGGUGGUGCUGGAGUUGGCGAACCUGGCCUCGUCGACGAUUAUGCAGUUGAUUUGAGGGACUGAUUUUCGCUAAAAAUGAGAGAUAUUAUGCUGCAUCCAGGAUAAGGGAAAGUAUGCUGCAGUGUAAAAAUGUUAUUUGGUGGGAGCUUUGCAUAAAACGCAUAAAAUUAAAAAAAAAACCAUUCGUUUUUUAGGGUGAUUUUUGUUUUCAAUUCCACGGAAAAUAUUUUUUAAUGUCUGCAAAAAACUAAAAUUAUCUCGAGAAGUUAUUCCAAAUUUUCACUGAAAUUCACUAGGAAUUUUACCGGAAAUCUUUUAAAAAGUAAAAGGAAGAAUAUUUUUGGAUUUUAUCGGAUGAUUGAUUAUUAAUCGAGAAAUUAUACGAAAUUUCUUCGGAAUUACCUACGAAAGUAUAAGGGGAAGGCCUUUUGAAAAUGUGAACAUUUGGUUUACGUGGUCCCGUUGGAAUCCCGAAAGUGUUCUCAAAAGAAUUCAGGAAUCCCGCAGGUUUCGCCGUCGGAAUCCCGAAGGGUUUGCUGUUGGAAUCUCGAAGGGUUUGCCGUCGGAAUCCCGACAGAAUUCCCAUCGGAAUCCCGAAAGUAUUCCCGUCCGAAUCCGAAAUACGAGACACUGAAGACGGCCGUACUGUUGAGGUCGAAAAACGUAUCUGUCAAACGUACAAUCAAGUGGUGAAAUUAAAUGAUAAUGAUUAAUGACGAUAAGACCUGAUAGCAAUGAUGGCAACCGCAGGGUGGCAAUAUAAAUCUCUGCACGAGGUGGCCUUAUCGGGAUGCAAAUUACUGGCAUAUAAACUUAUUUAAUAAAUUUUCUUUCUGUAUUUUCGUUAAUACUUUUUUCACAACUCACAACAACAAUUUAAAUUCCUUCUAUUGAGGAAAUAGGUUUGCCAUUUUUUUUUCAGUAUAAUAUCAAACCAAAAUAUUUGAUAAGUUUUUCUGUUUUCAGUUUGUUAAUAUAUGGAGGAGGACCAACGCGCACUGGGAGUUUUCGAAAGGAAAAUGCUGCGUACCAUCUAUGGUGGGGUGAAAAUACAACGCCUGUUGUAGAUAGCAUUUUAACUGUUUCAAAUUUCAUUUCCUAUACAUACUCCCAUACAUUUUAUAACUCAACUAAAGAUGCCCUAACAUUACUAAAGAUGCCGUUACUAAAGAAGCCCUAAAGAAAUAGGUCUAUUCAAUUUUAAAAACGAAUUCAGAUUGCUUCCUAAAUAUAUUUUAAAACGAAAGAUUUUAUACAUACGUAGUUCCCUGUAGUUCCACUGGCCAAGUGGUGAAAUGAUGGUCGCCUGAGAGUUUAGCCGGUUGCGGUAAGAUCUGUCGCAUGGCGUGUGUUUGGAGGAAUCUUAAUAGAGCUUGAUUGCGUCUAUUCUCCUAGUUCGAACAUCGCAUGCGUAGCACACAGUGCCUAAAUACGGAGAAGGUCUGAUGGUGUUAUUUUCUAAAGUAACUAUUUUCAAUGCAUUAUAUACAGAGACAUAAACUAGAGUUUAACGCUAACACAGAAAGACAAAUUAUAAACUGAGAAUCAGAAUCGUUCAAUAACAGACAAA